UGGGCUAGGAGGGGGGCUUGGCGUACCCUGUAUCGCAAAUCGUCAUCAUGGCGGUCCGAACGCCCUUGGGCGGCGUAACCGAGCCGUACGCGACGCAACCGUGGACGUUGAUAUCUCGCCCCCAAGUGACUCAGGUUGGAGUGAACCGUAUCCGGAGGGAGACGGCUAGCACCUUCGCCGGGGAAUCAGGCCAGGCCAGGAAUGGAGCAGCCCAACCCGGAACUUCGGGUGCCUUGGGGUACCGGGAUUGAGAAGACGGGGGCACUCUCGUGUGCGGAGACGAGCGUCCACCAGGGGCCCGCCCACUC
Molecule: signal recognition particle RNA, 308 nt
Filed under: Methanobacteriota archaeon
Lineage: Archaea; Methanobacteriati; Methanobacteriota
Description: Euryarchaeota archaeon partial signal recognition particle sRNA
Rfam family: Archaeal signal recognition particle RNA
Source: RNAcentral